CCCUUAGAUGUUCUGGGCCGCACGCGCGCUACACUGUUCGACGCAGCGAGUCUUAACCUUGACCGAAAGGUUUGGGUAAUCUUCAGCAAAGUCGAACGUGAUGGGGAUCGAUCAUUGCAAUUAUUGAUCGUGAACGAGGAAUUCCUAGUAAGUGCAAGUCAUCAGCUUGCGCUGAUUACGUCCCUGCCCUUUGUACACACCGCCCGUCGCUACUACCGAUUGAAUGGUUUAGUGAGAUAUCUGGAUUGACGCUGGCUAGGGGGCGACCCUUGGCCAGACUGUUGAGAAACUGCUCAAACUUGAUCAUUUAGAGGAAGUAAAAGUCGUAACA
This 331-nucleotide ribosomal RNA is filed under the name uncultured eukaryote. Its description in RNAcentral is "partial 18S ribosomal RNA". It matches the Rfam family "Eukaryotic small subunit ribosomal RNA", at positions 1470 to 1796 of the family's 1831-position model. The record is from RNAcentral.